GCUCUCGUCUCGGCAUCUCGUCACCGCACAUGUGCGCCUCGAUGGCUCUCGGUGUUCGACCUUCGUUCACUCGACUCGCGUCCGCCCGCCUGCGUUACUACUACCACCACCGCUGACGCUCGGGGCCGCCCGGCCUCCGCGACGUCCACGCGCUCCAGCUCCUAGAGAGCCGCGGCCCCCUCCCGUUCGACGAACAGUCCCACCGGCGACGGCCGCAGUUAGCGCUGCUGUGCCAGGUCGCCGUCCCGGCCAUGAGCGGCGGCAGACCGCGGAGCGGGAUGGGCCCCGAACUCACGAGGCCGUGGUAGCAGCGUGAGCCCCGGUUGCGGGGGGCGCGACCCGGCAGCUGUGGUCGUAAACGUCCACAUGUGCGACGAAUGGCCGCCGCCCAUACGCCUCUUCCAACACCAAGGCCGCCCCGUCGAAGAUGGCUGCUGUCUCCCCCCCAACGACUGACUGUCGGCGGUCGAACGCGCUCCACCGGACGUGGCAGACCAGGUGGCAGAAGUACGGUCAGGGGAGAGGGGGCCACUUAGGAAGGAAUAAGUCUACCUUAAAGGCUGUAGUCUCUGUGCAUAAAACAAUUAGUCCACGACUUCUUUGUUAGUUAGGAGAGGCGAACUUCCAUCCAAUACGUGUGUCUAAACAAGAAUGGAACGUUCGUAGCAACCUGCUUCUGUCAUCCGUACUAGUACCUGUUUGCGUCACUCACGAGUUGGGUAGACACGUAUACGACGUGAAGUACGGGGGCAAGGCGACGGUAGGAAUAAAACGGAGAGGACCUAGACCGAGGGGUCUCACAGCAGAACGACAGGGAGGGGUCCAACGGAGCUAGAACGUCCUCUCCUCGUGCCCUCCCGCCACCGACCUCAGCCGUCACCGACUUCCCUUGCGAACUCUUCCCCUACGUUACCUUGACACUUCCCGCCCAGCCGCUCCUUAGGGCGUGUCGCGCUGUGUACCCGCUCGUCGCUUCCUCCAAACCCCACCGCGGGCUUUUAUAACCUUCCCCUACCCCUCCACCGCCUACCAACCUCUUCUUCUGGCCGGCGCGCCGGCGCGUACCGCCGCCGCCGACACGGCAUGGGCAUGCGCUCCUCCUCUCGGGCACCAGCACGUACACACACCAGAAACAAAUCGUUAAGUUUUAUCGUGACGCCCAUCUUAUUAUUUGUUACGUCCCUAGAAAAACAUUCAUGCUUUGCAAAAAAGCUAACUGGUGAAUUUUAUCCUGACAUCCAACUUAAGAAUCUUUGUCUCCCUGAAAAAACGUUUUAGCGAUCGCUGCUGCUGGUCUUUGGGUUAAGAGAAAUAAUAAUCCAAUAAUAAUCCCUUUCUUUUCUGAUCGCACGAAUUUGGACGUGUGACUUCGAUAGAAAACCUCUAAUAAAACAGACGGUACACAUUAAAACCAACUACAAAUCGGACAACACGAAUUGUACGAAGAACUACAUGGAUGUGUCCUGUUAAAACCCUUGCUGACGACAAAAGGUAGCUACAUGUAUACAGUAACCAUUUCUAGGUGCAAAGCUGGGAAAGACGCAUACCCCGUUACUCUAUAGCUACUUGGUCGUAGUUCACUCCUUCGACUAUUUCUAACAAUCAUUUUACCCAGGUUUCUACCGUUAAUUUGAUAAACAAAUGUGAAAUAGGUUCUGUUGUUGCUUGACGUCCUACACCAACGGUUUCGUCAAAUGAGUUCUAAUGGAGAGUUUGAUGUACUAACCACCCGUACGUUUCCAAUUUCAUAAAGAUGGUCUUGUGCUACUAAUAGAUCUACAAAAGUACUUAUAGCACUUCCUACCCGCCAGCCGGUAGUGUUCCCCAACCUGAUCUCAGCACGCACGGAAGACGUACCUCCUCCCGUGUUAUACCCGUAAGGCGAAGUGGAACAAGUUGUUGGUCUUAUAUAAAGCGGAGAAAGAAAUGGCAGAAAUUA
This 1939-nucleotide ribosomal RNA is filed under the name Triticum aestivum (bread wheat). RNAcentral's name for it is "partial small subunit ribosomal RNA". The record is from RNAcentral. Lineage: Eukaryota; Viridiplantae; Streptophyta; Magnoliopsida; Poales; Poaceae.